GACAUAGAAAAGACUAGAUGAUUAGUCUUAAUUGCUGUAUAGGUAAUAUUGGAGGUGGUGGUUAGGGAUAGUGUUUGGUGACUAAAAUGAAAAGAAAAACAAGUACAAUCUGUUCUAAUUUUGGGAUGUAUUGAUAAUUACAUAGAGGUGAGACGAUAUAAAGUAAAGAUUUUGUUAUAUUAAAAUGAUGGAAUAGUAGUGUUAUAGACUUGAAGUUGAUCUGACUAGAGAUGAAAACUAUAAGGAUGAUUUUUUUUUAUACUUUUAAUUUUUCUUACAUUUAUUUGAUAUUUUUUUUUUAAAAAAAAAUACAAAACUUU
RNAcentral lists this long non-coding RNA (320 nucleotides) under Vigna radiata. RNAcentral describes it as "long non-coding RNA (VRAD_LNC002406)". Lineage: Eukaryota; Viridiplantae; Streptophyta; Magnoliopsida; Fabales; Fabaceae. The record is from RNAcentral.